UUUCUUAAUUAUCAUAAUUUUUAUGAUAUUUUUUUUAUUCUCUUAGAAUUAAAGAAAGAGUAAAAUCUUCUUUUCUUUUUAUAAAAAAAUUUAUCAGAAAUUUUUUAAAAAAAAUAAAAACGGAAAUUAUUUAUAAAUCCAAAUUACUUGGCAGCUAGAUAAAUAAUUAGGGGAAUCUGUUCUUUAAUUGACUCUUCACAAUAAAAUUAACCUAACUCUAUGAUUUAUAUAUCACCGAUAAAAAAAAAUCUUUUUUCUUUUCUUCUUUCAAGAAAAUACCAGGUCAAGAUAUAAUCUAUAUUUAGGGAUGAAAUGGAUUACAAUUUUUUUCUAAAUACGAAUUUCUACAUGAAAACAAAAUGAAGGUGGACUUAAUAGUAAAAAUUUAUCACUAAGAUUUAUUGAAUCAAUAUUUUUCAA
Molecule: ribosomal RNA, 420 nt
Filed under: Troglosiro monteithi
Lineage: Eukaryota; Metazoa; Arthropoda; Arachnida; Opiliones; Troglosironidae
Description: partial 12S ribosomal RNA
Source: RNAcentral